UACAGAGGGUGCGAGCGUUAAUCGGAGUUACUGGGCGUAAAGCGUGCGUAGACGGCUAUCUAAGUCGGGUGUGAAAGCCCCGGGCUCAACCUGGGAAUUGCAUUCGAGACUGAAUAGCUAGGGUGCGGUAGAGGGAAGCGGAAUUUCCGGUGUAGCGGUGAAAUGCGUAGAUAUCGGAAGGAACAUCAGUGGCGAAAGCGGCUUCCUGGACCAGCACCGACGUUCAGGCACGAAAGCGUGGGGAGCAAACAGG
This 253-nucleotide ribosomal RNA is filed under the name uncultured bacterium. RNAcentral describes it as "partial 16S ribosomal RNA". It matches the Rfam family "Bacterial small subunit ribosomal RNA", at positions 524 to 776 of the family's 1533-position model. The record is from RNAcentral.